CCAAACAGGAAGCGCUCUCUCUGACCAUUUCAUGGCCUUCUUGAUCAUCUCUAACCAAAACAGGGGAUCUCUGGCAUAACGUGACAUUUUCUAACGCUCCCAUAGGCUCUCAGAAGGCGCCAGAAAGAUGAAUGGUGGCUUUGCAGGCCAUGGCUAAAAAACAUUAGCACAUUUGGAUAAUGGUCGAUCUGAGGACAAUGAGACUGGAGGCGAGCCGACACCAUGUUUACUUUCUCUCUCUUUGAACGAAAACAACGACUCCCGGUCGGGAAUAUUAUCGCUUUUUUACGAGAAAAAUAGCAUAAAAAUUGAUUUUAAACAGCGGUUGACAUGCUUCGAAGUACGGUAAUGGAAUAUUUCGAAUUUUUUUGUCACGAAACGCGUCGGGCGCGUCACCCUUCUUUACCCUUCGGAUAGUGUCUUGAACGCACGAACAAAACGCCGCUAUUUGGAUAUAACUAUGGAUUAUUUGGAACCAAACCAACAUUUGUUAUUGAAGUAGAAGUCCUGGGAGUGCAUUCUGACGAAGAACAGCAAAGCUCCAGCUCUUCUGCCCUUCACCUCCCAUCAUGCAUCUCUUCCUAAGCCCCCGGGCUGCUUCCUGACCGUGAUCACCAACCUCACGACAUCCCUCCCUGAGCCAGACCCUGACACGCAUCAUCACCCUACUGCCACAUGUUUCCACAGAGGAAACCACAGAGGAGCUGUGCUCUAUUACUGUGUCCCCUACACGCCAUUCACCUCUUCCUAAAUCACUGUUCUGUGGAGAGAUAAAUACACCAGAGGAGGCUGGUGGGAGGAGCUAUAGGAGUACAAACUCAUUGUAAUGGAUAGAAUAAACGGAACAGAGUCAAACAUGUGGUUUCCAUAUGUUUGAUGUGUUUUAUACCGUUCCAUUUAUUCCAUUCCAGCCAUUACAAUGCCACUGCAUAGAUACUGCAAGGCGGGUUUGAUUUGAAGAUGGAUAACAUGUCACUAAUCAAACUCAAACUUCAGGCAAGGACACCAGCACUGUCUGCACGGGGGGAAAAUCCAAUUUAGGGGUAAUAAUUAUUCAAACCCAUCCUUCAUAACAGUACCAAAAUAAAUAAUUACUUUCAAAAUAAAUUGCAGCAUUGUUGGCUGUUAAGAGCCUCUGGCUCACAGCAACAAAACUCAAUUAAUAAAAUUGCUCACUAAUCCUGACAGAUUGAAUCCCAAUGGAUAAUACACCUCCCGCCACUCCCCACCAUGCAAAAACUAUGUUAAAACAUAUUAAUUCAUUACUUACAAUGAAUACUUUAUUAUCUUGUUAAUUCAUUAAUUACAGUAUCUAGGCCUCUAUAAAAAGGUUUUCAAAAUUGCAGAGAGUGCUCUUUGUUUGUCGAUGAUGCAGAAAUAUUGCAUCAUUAUCCUUGUGGAGGAUUCUAGAGGCUACGUCUGUCACAGUAGCCUGUGAAUGCAGCGGUGGACUCUGCAACAACUCCAGAGGUUUUUGUGUAGUAGGUGGAGGCCAUGUGGGGUGGGGGAGGAGGUAUGUGAGAGUGGAUGAUGGUGUGUGGACACUGUGAGUGUUGGGUCACUGGCUCUUUCCCUCUGUCACUGAGCAUUCCUCAGUGAUAGAGCCUUGCGUGACCUCUCUGCCAGCCCUGCAGCCAAAGCAGCCUUGCCUUGAUGUGUUCAGACACAAUACCUCCUCCUUCUCCACUACCUGCACCUGUUCUGUCAGAUCCUCUCUCCGUACUGAUUAGUGCACAGACAUUAGAGAAGCAUCCCCCAUCUAAAGCUAAUAUGAUGAUGUCAUGGAGGCUGAGAGUGAGACUGAUGAGAGGACUAGGAUGCUAGGAGUACGGUCAGCAGAGCCAGUGUCUCAUAUAAACAUCACAGACCCUCAAGCUAAAGUACUCAGGAGAAGCUGUCGCUGUCCCCAGCCAGACCAAACAGUGGACAGGUAGAUGGGCAUAGUGCUAGGAAAGGGAUUUGGUCACAGGAACAAUCAUAUUUUUACAUACUCCAGCACACACACCCACACACACAGCCCAAGCUUUCCUUUCCCCAGACUGACUGGAAUCUCCAAGAAUAAUGUCAGAAAGAAAAGCAGGUCAGUCUCACAGCAGUGAGAUGAGACUGAGUGGUCUGGUCAGCAGUGCAGUCAGACAGGAUACCUAUACAACUACGUACUUUAAACUCCCAUUUGUGUUUUGCAGCAGCUCAAACUCAGUCCAGGGUUGCGUCCAAAAUGGUACAUUGUUCCUUAUAUAGUGUACUACUUUUGAGAAGGGUCCAUAGCACUAUAUAGGGAAUAGGGUGCCAUUUCGGACACAGACCUGGCAUUUCUAUCUCUUUUCCGUUGACAGCGUCCAGAGUCUGAAGAAUCCCAUCAAGAUGGAACACAAAGCACCACAGCUUAUCUCAGUUUGUUUUUAGGGGCCAAAUAGAUUUCAGUGAACUGGUGUUGUGAUGGGCAGUAGGGAGGGAAGUAGGAUGUCUUAUCAGCAGUGCUGUGAAUGUAAUUCAGCCAGAGGAACACCCCUUGAUAGAUCAGGAACAUACUGGUUUACCAUCACCUUUAAGGGCAGACAGUGCAGUACAGUGCAAAGGCCUAACCCUCUGGCCAAACAAUAGAUUUUCUUAACAGUGUAUUGUCACACUAAGAUGUGUUUAAAGUAUUGUAUUUCACAGUAUAUGGUACUGUACACACAGUGACAUAUAUAGACAACAUGUAUUCUCACCUCUCCAUUUCAUAUUCUUUCUGUCUGUGUCUCACAUGCUUCAUUAUCUGAAGAGAAACGACAACAACACUUUAUUUUGUCUGUUUGUGAAAAAUUGUAGAGAACUACUUGUUGUUCUCUUUAAAGUAAUUGUUGUGGCUAAAGGCUAAUCGUGCAUAUUUUCUAUUCACUGUUGUAAUUCAUCCAUCCUACACUGUGAGAGGUGAGGGCGGUUGUGGGAGUGUUUCAUUCUGGAUUGGAAAAUGAGGUGCAAUAGCCUGCAAAUGACAUGCUAUUAACUCCAUGUGAUAAGAUAAGUGUUAUCAUCUACUCAAGUCCCAAAAAACUCACUGUCUGACAGAAAGGAAAAUUAUGCUUCAGGGACAAGGGGGAUUAUUCACAAUUGCAGGCGAUUUGAACAGUUAAGAGCCACUUAUUCAAACUCAUGGAUUAAGCGUCUUAGCCAAGAUAAUAGCAAGUUAUAAUAGGAACUGUGGAUCAAGAUAACACUUGGUAUGAUGUGGCUGUCACGACGUCCGCCGAAGUUGGUGCCUCUCCUUGUUCGGGUGGCGUUCGGCGGUCAAAGUCACCAGCUUUCAAGCCACCACCAAUCUACGUUUCUUUUUCUAUGUGUUUUGUCUUGAUUGUACACACCUGGUUUCCAUUAUGUUACAAUUUAUUCCCUAUUUAACCCUCUGGUUCCCACAUGGUUUUGUGCGUGUUUGUUCUUUGUUAUGUGGUCGCUCUUUUGUGUUGAGCUGGAUUAUUAUUCCUUGUUUGGAAUUAGUUUGUGAUUUUGCGAGUAAAGUACGUUUUUACUCAGUUCUGUGUCCUGCGCCUGACUCCGUCCUACCCGCUGCACACUGAUACAUGACAGUGCAAUGUGUACUGCUGUACAACUGGUAUAGAUAGUUCUCAGGCGUUUUACCUUCCAAAUGGGAGAAAUAAAUGUGACUCCAUAUACUCUAUUUGUCAGGGACUAGACAAAAUGCUACAGGCCUACACCGUAGAGACUGUCAAGACUAUGUAUGCCAUUCUAACUCAAGGCCUCAAGACAUCAUGAGGAACGAAGACAAACACAAAUUACCGAUGUGUAUUUGUAGUCUCAGUAGACUAGUAGUAAAUUCAAUAUCAGCU
This 3827-nucleotide long non-coding RNA is filed under the name Salmo salar (Atlantic salmon). RNAcentral describes it as "lncRNA (ENSSSAG00000103818.1)". The record is from RNAcentral. Lineage: Eukaryota; Metazoa; Chordata; Actinopteri; Salmoniformes; Salmonidae.